GAUGAACGCUGGCGGCGUGCCUAAUACAUGCAAGUCGAGCGAACAGAUAAGGAGCUUGCUCCUUUGACGUUAGCGGCGGACGGGUGAGUAACACGUGGAUAACCUACCUAUAAGACUGGGAUAACUUCGGGAAACCGGAGCUAAUACCGGAUAACAUAUUGAACCGCAUGGUUCAAUAGUGAAAGGCGGCUUUGCUGUCACUUAUAGAUGGAUCCGCGCCGUAUUAGCUAGUUGGUAAGGUAACGGCUUACCAAGGCAACGAUACGUAGCCGACCUGAGAGGGUGAUCGGCCACACUGGAACUGAGACACGGUCCAGACUCCUACGGGAGGCAGCAGUAGGGAAUCUUCCGCAAUGGGCGAAAGCCUGACGGAGCAACGCCGCGUGAGUGAUGAAGGUCCUCGGAUCGUAAAACUCUGUUAUCAGGGAAGAACAAAUGUGUAAGUAACUGUGCACAUCUUGACGGUACCUGAUCAGAAAGCCACGGCUAACUACGUG
This 497-nucleotide ribosomal RNA is filed under the name uncultured bacterium. RNAcentral's name for it is "partial 16S ribosomal RNA". It matches the Rfam family "Bacterial small subunit ribosomal RNA", at positions 28 to 507 of the family's 1533-position model. The record is from RNAcentral.